ACUCCUACGGGAGGCAGCAGUGGGGAAUUUUGCGCAAUGGGCGAAAGCCUGACGCAGCAACGCCGCGUGAGUGAUGAAGGCUUUCGGGUCGUAAAGCUCUGUCAGGGGGAAAGAAGUGUAUUGUGGCUAAUAUCCACGAUACUUGACGGUACCCCCAAAGGAAGCACCGGCUAACUCCGUGCCAGCAGCCGCGGUAAUACGGAGGGUGCAAGCGUUGUUCGGAAUUAUUGGGCGUAAAGCGCGUGUAGGCGGUUUUAUAAGUCUGAUGUGAAAGCCCUGGGCUCAACCCGGGAAGUGCAUUGGAUACUGUAAGACUUGAAUACGGGAGAGGGCAGUGGAAUUCCUAGUGUAGGAGUGAAAUCCGUAGAUAUUAGGAGGAACACCGGUGGCGAAGGCGGCUGCCUGGACCGAUAUUGACGCUGAGACGCGAAAGCGUGGGUAGCAAACAGGAUUAGAUACCCUGGUAGUCCACGCCGUAAACGAUGAGAACUAGGUGUUGCGGGUA
Molecule: ribosomal RNA, 505 nt
Filed under: uncultured Geobacter sp.
Lineage: Bacteria; Pseudomonadati; Thermodesulfobacteriota; Desulfuromonadia; Geobacterales; Geobacteraceae
Description: bacterial SSU rRNA
Rfam family: Bacterial small subunit ribosomal RNA
Source: RNAcentral